RNAcentral lists this ribosomal RNA (253 nucleotides) under uncultured bacterium. RNAcentral describes it as "partial 16S ribosomal RNA". It matches the Rfam family "Bacterial small subunit ribosomal RNA", at positions 524 to 776 of the family's 1533-position model. The record is from RNAcentral.
UACGUAGGGGGCAAGCGUUGUCCGGAAUCAUUGGGCGUAAAGAGCGUGUAGGCGGCCAGAAAAGUCCGCUGUGAAAACUCGAGGCUCAACUUCGAGCUGUCGGUGGAAACUUUCUGGCUAGAGUCCGGAAGAGGAGACUGGAAUUCCUGGUGUAGUGGUGAAAUGCGCAGAUAUCAGGAGGAACACCGGUGGCGAAGGCGGGUCUCUGGGCCGAUACUGACGCUGAGGAGCGAAAGCGUGGGGAGCGAACAGG